Molecule: ribosomal RNA, 164 nt
Filed under: uncultured bacterium
Lineage: Bacteria
Description: partial 16S rRNA
Rfam family: Bacterial small subunit ribosomal RNA
Source: RNAcentral
UAGGGAAUCUUCCACAAUGGGCGAAAGCCUGAUGGAGCAACGCCGCGUGUGUGAUGAAGGGUUUCGGCUCGUAAAACACUGUUGUAAGAGAAGAAUGACAUUGAGAGUAACUGUUCAAUGUGUGACGGUAUCUUACCAGAAAGGAACGGCUAAAUACAUCCCAG